GGGCGUUUAGCGCAGUGGUAGCGCGUAUGCUUUGCAUGUAUAAGGUCCAGGGUUCAAUCCCCUGAACGUCCA
Molecule: transfer RNA, 72 nt
Filed under: Volvariella volvacea V23
Lineage: Eukaryota; Fungi; Basidiomycota; Agaricomycetes; Agaricales; Pluteaceae
Also listed under: 2 other names
Description: tRNA-Ala (TGC) (tRNA-Ala-TGC-1 1 to 3)
Rfam family: tRNA
About the family: Transfer RNA (tRNA) molecules are approximately 80 nucleotides in length. Their secondary structure includes four short double-helical elements and three loops (D, anti-codon, and T loops).
Source: RNAcentral